GUACCUAAAGUCCGGUAACCCGUAAAGGAGCCGCCUAGGUAAACUAGUAACUGGGGCU
This 58-nucleotide ribosomal RNA is filed under the name uncultured bacterium. Its description in RNAcentral is "partial 16S ribosomal RNA". The record is from RNAcentral.